GCCUUCGUGGUGCAGCGGUCAGCACAUUCGGCGCGUAUUGAAGAGGUCCUUGGUUCGAGUCCUGGCGAGGGCA
RNAcentral lists this transfer RNA (73 nucleotides) under Stegodyphus mimosarum. It matches the Rfam family "tRNA". From Rfam's summary of the family: Transfer RNA (tRNA) molecules are approximately 80 nucleotides in length. Lineage: Eukaryota; Metazoa; Arthropoda; Arachnida; Araneae; Eresidae. The record is from Rfam by way of RNAcentral.